AUUUUCCUAUCACCAUAGAGAUAACAAACACCGGAAAGAAACCCAACUUCUUUAUCCCCAAGAAACAGCUGGCUAGGGAGUUAGCGCAGGCUAAUCGCACUCCUAAAGAAUGGUGGAGCGAGGAACUCAAUAAACUCUACAGACUACACGUGGCAAAAC
This is a long non-coding RNA of Rhagoletis pomonella (apple maggot), 159 nucleotides long. RefSeq lists it as uncharacterized. NCBI's taxonomy places the organism in Eukaryota, Metazoa, Arthropoda, Insecta, Diptera, Tephritidae. The transcript is spliced from 2 exons. The record is from RefSeq and is a predicted model, not a curated record.